AGGCGGCUUGUAUGAGUCUUCUUUACUCUCGACAGGAGGGUGGCCAGGGUUGUGAUCAUAAUGUGGUGGCUUCUCUCCCUUAGGUGGCUUGCCAACUGGGGUUGGUGGCUUGUGUUCAGGAAGUGGUUUCUCUCCCAUGGGAGGUUUAGCAAUUGGGGUUGGUGGCUUGUGUUCUGGGAGUGGCUUCUCUCCCUUGGGAGGUUUAGUAGGUGACUUGUGUUCUGGAGGUGGCUUCUCCACCGGAGGCUUGUGCUCCGGUGGUGGCUUCUUGGUUGGAGGGGGCUUGGGGUAAUCAGCAAGAGAUGGGGUGGUGAGAACCACCAGUCCAAGGAACAACACUAGCAAGUAUGUGGGAGACAUUUUUGAGUUUGGGCUGAUCAGAUGAUGCAAAACUAAAGCAUUACGUGACCUUUUAUAGCAUGUAGCUCCCAAUACCCACUAAGUAUUGUGGGGUCCAUUUGUGCCCUACGGGGUUGAAAACUUAGACAAUUGGGCAAGGACCCACCUGACUAUGGAGGACUAGUGAGGUGUGAUCAUAGCUUUAGGAUUUUUCUUCCUCUGCAGCCGUCGUGCCGUUGGCAUGAUUUUCUUAAUCUUAAAUAAAGGCAUAGUUAUAGAGUUGUUUAAUCUCUAAAUGGGAUUUUAUAUAUAUCUUCAGAUAGCCAUUAAUAUAUUUGAUGAAGAAAGAAAGACAAGUGCAUACAACAUGUAUACGACUAGCUUUCAUGGAGUUCAUUUAUGAUCAGUUUUCCUGUACAUGUAAACCAGGAUCAUAUAUAUGUUUCUGUUCCACAACUAUUUUGGAAUCUUGUUUAUCAGUUUUUAUCAUUAUAAUGUCACAUAGGCUGCCAACUUGGGCGCUAAAAGAACCAGUUGGGCUAGUUCGUUUCAGAAUUUCAAUGUGGAUUCAGGAAUUGUUUUGUAAGAUAUGCGAAAUAGUAGAGGGAUGAAUAGUGUUUCAUUAAUAAAAGUGUCCUGUAAAUUAGAAGGUGUCAUAGAAACUAUAAUCAAUAAAUAACUUUUUUUCCCCACGGGUGGUGUUUCUUGUGGGGAUCAGUGACUGGUUUAGGUUCACCCAAAAUGAGUUCAGACUAAAAUUGGUUUGAGUCAAUGCCGUGUCUCUUUUUUCCAGAAAUCAACUAUUUUAUGCAUUGAAUAAAUCAUACAAAGAAAAUAUGAACGCCCGCAAAACCUAAACCCUGGUUGCUAACUUUCUAUGUUUCAGUUCUAUUCACGCAAGAAUAUUAGUUUAAGUUUGGGAAAAAUGGCAACUUACCUAGUGAUUACUUGGUUUUGGUUUGCGACUAUUUACGCAACCAACCAUGAGUUUGACUUUAACGUCAUGGGUUGAAGCCUCCUACAGGAAGGGAGAAAGCUCCACAGCUAGCUCCAAAAGAGAAUUAUCACAUUGAUAGCUCCAGAGAUUCCCAAGGGGACUGAAUCAAAGACAAGUUCCUCACUUUUUCUUCUUUUGAGGCCAAAUAUGAACCAAGGAUCACACAACCUCAUUCAACUUCAUAAGUUUGAUUUCAUGCAGUUGAACACUGGGUGAAGGCCAUGACAAGAAUUGAUUCAAAAAUUCUAUCACUCUUUUAAGUAAUGGAAGAUUAUUAUCUCUGAUUGGCAUCACAACAGCACAUGCUCCUAGAUCUUUCUAGACACUCCAUGCAAUGAAAGCACAAUGGAUCUUGUAACGAUAGAAACUAAGCCAUGCUACAGUACUAGAUGAUGAGGUAAAACUAGUAGACACGGGUGGCAGCCUAUAUGGGAGGGACACAAGUCUAAUUGAUUUGCAUUUCAGCAUUAUAGAUAGGUAUGUUUUGGAAGAUUUGUUCUGGAAAUACCGCACCAAGUAGGAUUCUUUUUCUCUUUAGUGGGUCCACUUGCAUGCCAAUUAACGAGUUGAAAAGUAUGAGCACCUACCUCGUGCUCGUGGAACCGAAGGUCAGUGAAGUGGGGCUCCUUUUGGCCUCGUGUAAACUUGAUUCAGAAGUGAAGUUAAUAGUCUUCCAUUCAGAUGGAUACAUGGGAAUUUUUCUCUUUUAUUUAUUUAUUUAUUUUUUUUUUGUGUGUGUAUGUCAAAGGAUAAUGAAUGAAGCGCGUUAGCUUGUUUUCUGACUGGAACCGCAGAUGUCCAAAUUGGAGUUCCUUCAUUUCUUACUUAGGAUUGUUACAUGUAUAAACAAGGUAUAAGAAAUAUGCCAACGUGUCUUGAGGAGUUAUUGAUUAGAAAUAACAAGUCACCCGACUGUAGAGUUCCAAGAUUUGAAUCUUCAGACCCUAUAGCAGCCUCUGGGGUACGUGGCAUCCUAUAGCAUAUUAAUGAAGGCUUUUUCGAUUUAGACUUCACAAUACCAAUUAAUAUGUAUGCACAAAAUGGAGAUGACCCCAAAAAAAACAGAAUCGCCAUAGUUUAUGAGGUUAAGGUGAUUCUCCACUUAAUAUCUACAUUAGCUAAUUAUGUAAAUCAAAUGAACUUCUAUUUUUCCUUUUUUUUUUUGGUUUAUGUCAAAUAGUAGCCCAUAAUUAACCCAACCAUUAGCCUGUUUGAAUUGAUUUCACAUGCACAAUGUUGUAGUAGUUCAUAUUUUGAAUUUUAUUUUUACAAAGGUAGUUAAGGAAAAUGAAGUAUAAUAAUUAUAAAAGCAGACUAUAUACACUACAAUAAUUGUUAGAAUGGUAUCUCAAAUUCUAAUUUAAAAUAUUAUUUUUUGUAAAAGAAAUAUUAUAUAGAAUAUUUCCUAAUUUUAUAAAUGAUUAUAAUUAGAUCUUUAUAAAAUAAGGAAAGUUGGUAAGAAUAUCUUUAUAAAUAUUUUAGGUCAUGAGAGAAAGAAAUGGGAUAAAAAUGUGAUGAAGAGGUGAAAUAAGAGAGUUGAUUAGGAUAUAGAUGUGAAGAAGAAAGGGAUUCAAUAUAUAUAUAUCUUUCAAUUACCACAUUAAAACCCUGUGAACCUUUUAUAUGGUUUACUUUAUUUUUAUAUUCCUCCUUUAAUAUAUUUACAUUAAUGCUUCCAUUGGCACAACAAUAACGAAUUACAAAUACAAGCAACAAGUCCCAUGUUUUAUUACCAAAAGCAGGUAAAAUCCACCUAAUAUAUUACAAUAUAUUCAUCCAAUAUUUUAGACCAAUUCUUCACCAUAAAUAUCAUAAUGUGGCUUUUGUUCUUUCUUAAAUUUAAAUUGAAUUGUCUUAUAUCAAUUUGUUUGUGAUUUUUUCAUUAACUUCACUUUCAUUUGGUUAUCUUUGGUUUUUGAAAAGUAUUAAGGAAUUAAUUAACAAAAUAAUGUUAAGAAAAAUAAUUUUCUCUCUUUUGAUUUUGAUUUUGUAGUAGAAAAAUAUAAUUAAAAUUAUUUAAAAAGUAUGUAAUUUUAAAUUAUUUAAUAUUUAGAUAAAAAAAAUAAGUCUAAUGAGUUUAAAAUAACAUAUAAAAAUAAUUUAUUUAUUUUAAAUUUAUUUUUUAUUUUCCAUUAUGUUCUCUUUCUCUUUUACUUUUUCAUAUUUUUUCUUACGAAGAAUCAAACACAACCUCAUAUUAUAUGUCAAGUGUUUGUCUAUAUUUGAGCAAUGUUAGAUACGGCCAUGGAUUCAUCAAACUAAACUGAUUUUAAUAGAUACUUCACAAAUUGAUUUAUACACUAAAUCAUUGGAUAGCAAUGAUGCAUUGGAAUUAAACGUAGGAUGAAGCUCGAAGAACACUGUUUGUGUAACAACAUAUUUAUGAAAUUAUGCAAAGGAUGAGCUUCGGGGUAGUAGUACAAGGUCAUUAAUGGAGAGCCGUGUUAAACCUUGAUUGUGAUUGGAUUCCGUUAUCAGCAACAGCAACCUUGUUUGUAACCUUGAAAGUCAUUCUGUCCACAUCGAAACUCCAAUUUGACGUUUGUAAUUACCAUUCCUGGAGUGUUCCUUGAUUGAAAUUUAAAUAAUAAUUGCGGCCCACAAGGAAUAUUUUCGAUUCUGUGGGAAUUUGACAAGGUUUGUUAGAGAAGACUGGUGACAUGUUGACUUCAAUGGUUCAAAUAGGAGACGUAUGUGGAUUUGGGGGGUUUAAUUGAAACUGAGUCCCUAUGGCUUUUUAAUAUUUGCAUUGAGCAGUCUCCAUGUGACUUCCUAAUUCCCACCAACCCUCCUGUCCAUGCUGUGAAACUAAAUUGUAAUUUAUCAGCCUUUGUCAAUGGUUUCUAAAUUAAAGAUAUAGACCAUGCAUGUACUUUAAUAAAAGCAAAUCUAAAGUGUAGAUAGCAGCAAUGGUGACACCCAAUAUUCUCCAUAAAAUAGAAUUAGAAUAAGCAGUGUUACAUUGUUCAUGAUCACCUACAAGCAUACAAGAACUUCCAUGAAUAACUCAUAGCAAUUGCCAACAGGGCGUCGUAGAGACUCAUACAUAGAACACUAUCCACCCAGAGGAAAGGACAAGACCAGUGCGCUGCAGCUCUUAUUUUUCACAUGUAUACCACCACUCGUAAUAACCAAAUUCACUCAGUUGGGAUAGGUGGGAGAUGGUGGUUUGUGGGGUGGCUUGUGGGGAGGAGUUGGAGGAGGCUUUAUUUUCUGAGGCGGCUUGUAUGAGUGUGCAGGAGGAUGCCCGGGAGUGUGACCAUAAUGUGGUGGCUUCUCUCCCGUAGGUGGUUUGCCAAAUGGGCUUGGUGGCUUCUCUCCCUUAGGAGGUUUACCAAUUGGGGUUGGUGGCUUGUGUUCUGGGAGUGGUUUCUCUCCCUUGGUAGGUUUGCCAAUUGGGGUUGGCGGCUUAUGUUCUGGGAGUGGCUUCUCUCCCUUGGGAGGUUUGCUAAUUGGGGUUGGCGGCUUAUGUUCUGGGGGCGGCUUCUCUCCCUUGGGAGGUUUGCCAAUUGGAGUUGGCGGCUUAUGUUCUGGGAGUGGCUUUUCUCCCUUGGGAGGCUUGCCAAUUGGGGUUGGCGGCUUAUGUUCUGGGGGUGGCUUCUCUCCUUUAGGAGGUUUGCCAAUUGGAGUCGGCGGCUUAUGUUCUGGAAGUGGCUUUUUUCCCUUGGGAGGUUUGCCAAUUGGGGUUGGCGGCUUAUGUUCUGGGGGUGGCUUCUCUCCCUUGGGAGGUUUGCCAAUUGGAGUCGGCGGCUUAUGUUCUGGGAGUGGCUUCUCUCCCUUGGGAGGUUUUGUUGGUGGCUUGUGUUCUGGAGAUGGCUUCUCCCCUGGAGGCUUGUGCUCCGGAGGUGGCUUCUGAAAUGGCGGGGGCUUGGGGUAAUGAGCAAGAGAUGGAGUACUGGUGAGAACCACCAUUCCAAGCAACAAUACUAGCAAGCAUGUGGGAGACAUCUUUGAGUAGUUGUAGCUAAGAUGGCGCAACACUGUAGGCAUUGGGUGGCCUUUUAUAAAGGGCUGGACCCAACAGCCAUAUGACACGUGUCAUGAUGACAAAUGAAGUUGAGGGGAUCCAGAUGGGUCCUACUGAGUCGAAAACUUGCACUAAUUGAUCUGGUGAGAUGACUAUUUCUGUCCUUUUGCCCUUCUCGGCCACCCUGUGCUGUUUUCCUUUUGCACGAUUUUCGUUGCCAAACAAGCAAAUAAUAUUUCGCCAAGAAAGAGGAGAGUGAAUGUGGAAUGCAUCAAGUCCCAUCAAGGAUGGCAGAGAAGAAAUAGAAGAUUGCCCAACUGUGAUAAACAUAGCAUACACGUAGCACCAGGAACUUCAUUUACUUCCAUCUAAUGGAACAUAACAAUCUUCUAAAGUUUUUGCAUGAUUUUGUUAUAUGUCUCUUAGCCUAAAGUUGGAAAUGCGCAACAAAUUUUGUCACUUCUCUAUUUCCCACUGAUGAUGUUAAUUAGCCUUCAUAGAUAUCAUCCUUUCUACAAAGUGCUUCAUUUGUGUGUUAUUGUAAAGUGUAAGAAAAGUAAUUGAACAUGUUCUUUUUCCUUUCAUAGAUGACUUUUGAUGUGCAUUUUAAAAGCAGCGCUGUGAGUCGGUGACCUUGAUUCACACGGAAACUAAGGCUCCUAUAGGACCCACUUUUAGCUGGUUAGGGGUGAAGAAAAUAUCAACUUUUCAGAGUGAUUUAAGUCAAGGCCAAGCCUCACUGUGUCAUUACUCGUGUGAAUUUUAUAUGCACAUACAUACAUAAAUAAAGUAUGAGACCCAAAUAACACCUUCCCUUUACAAACUUAACCCCAGCCGCUCUCUUUCAAUUCUUUUCACACAAGGGUAUUGACUCUAUAAAGGUCAAGAAAAUCAUAAUUUCCUAGGGUUUACAAGGUAAUUGGCUUAAUGCUAAUGUGAAAACAUAAAAGAUAAUAGUAUAUUGUAAGCUAACGAAUAUUCUAUAGUUAUAAUUAUUUGUGAUGUGCAUAAAUAAAUCUUCAUAUAUAUAAUGGAACAAUGAAUAAAGAACCAAUGAAAAAAUACUAUAUAUCAUUGCUUGGCAUUUAAACCGUAUAUGCUGCUCUUUCUAGCUACUCCAUCCACUGAAAGACAACAAGGUAAUCCAUGUUAUAAUGAUAGAAGAUACUGUCUCUAGGCUUUUUGUGAUGAAAAAUAUAAGAUAUGGGUAGGGUUGACCCUUGUAUGUUUGUCCUAUAAACACUUCAAAGUAACAUAUUUUUCUUCUUUAGCAACUCAUAAUGAUGGGGUUCAUUUGCAUGUCACUGAGUUGAAAAGUUGGACAAUUGCCCAUGUCGCCUUCCUCCUAGAUUCCGUAGUUCACGGGAAGGUAACUCAAGUUUGACAUAUUUUGAAUUCUUUUCACUCGGACGUCUUCAUAACCUGACAAAACAAAAAUGAAAAACAGAGGAUUGGUAUAUUAUUCAUGGUAAGCCUCAAAUUAUAGUAGUAUGAGAAAGGAGAAAAAGAUUUUGGGAACUCCAAUCUGGAUAAUUCUCGUUUCUUCUCUUGAAUAAAAAUUUCACUUACCUAACUUCGUUUGGAGAAAUGGCAUAUUUUAAUUUUGUACGUCAUUGCUAAUAAAUGGAGCAAUUUAGCAUGUUUUGUGACUGAAACUGCAAAUGUCCAAUUGGCAUUUCUUCAUUUCCCACUUAGGAUCUGAUCUUGUAGACCAUAUAACGAUAUGUAUCUGUGCAAGCAUUGAAAACUAAUGUGAACUAUGAGGAGUUACAAGCCACUGGACUGUAGAGCGAGUGCCAAGAUUUAAAUCUUCAGGCUCUAUCUGGGUAAGGGGAGGAUAGCGACCUAACCUUUUACCAAAGGCUUAGAAUUUAGACUUUUGGAAAAAAAUUUCUCAUGUUUUGGCUGGAUUUCUUGUGCUUGGCGCAAAAAGGAGAUGGCCUCAAGAAAUAGCAGACUCACUUUUGUUUUCAGCCCUUAAUAAUUCUCCACUGCUUUCCAUAACUACAUGGGUUAUACAUGCAGUCUGCUGCAAUAUUCCAGUUAUAUUUAUUAUUUCAAAGAGGGUGAAUGACUUCACAUGCAAUAUGUUGCAGUAACAACCCAAAUUUUGGCACACCAUCUUAAGAAUAGAAAAGUAUAAUAAAAGAAAUCAAUCAGAGAAUCACUUUGCAUGCAGUUCAUAGAGUUCGCCCAAAAUGGAGCCACAUGUACGGACAACCCCACAAUAGACAAUCUUCUCUAUACAGUAAUAAAAUACAGAAAUGGUUAAUGAAGCUCUGUAUUUCCUUAUCAUAUAUGACCGGUUGAAAACUCAGCAAGUCUUCCUCAAUCACAGACAGUUGGAGUUGCUUCAUCAAAAUCAUGCCUUCAUUACUGGCUUCAUUUUGGUUUCAAUGUCUGUUCUACCCUUAAAUUGGGUCUCUGCUUACUACCGGGAUAUCCUUUAGCGUCCUGCAAUUCUACUAGAUUAAAGAGAAUGACUUAAUUCUGCAUUCUGCCGUCCCUAGUCCAAGUGGUACUAGAAUUGAUGUUUCCUUUAGUGUCCUUUCUUCAUACUUUCAGGUUCUUCCCUUGUUUCAAUAAUGCUGUUUUCCUUCAUGUUUAACCUCUGUUGAACCACUUAAAACAACACAAUUUGCACACCAAUGUUUCUUUACAGAAAAGACUGUUUGCAAAAAUGCACAUGUUAUAAGGUUAAUGGAAGAAUUAAUUUGGGGAUAAGGGACUAGGAUUGGGCCAAUGAAGUUUGGUGUUAAAUUUUGAUUAUGAUUGCUUUUCAUUAUCAGGUACCUUAUAUUUGCUGAUGCUAUCUGGAACUAAAUUCAAAUCAGACAUUAUCCGAUUACUAACAGGACAUAUCAUGUCCCUCUGCAGAGUUUCUAAACUAACAUGUAUCGAAAUGUGGCCCCAAAAGGAAGGCUAGGAAGAUGGAGGAUUUUGUAGGAAUCGACCAGAAUCAGAUGGAAGAGAGAUAGUCCUGUUGACUUUAAUGGUUGUGAUAGGAACAUGCAUCAUUAUAUGAGAAGUUGCAUGAAUUUAUGUAUCCUGUUAUCGUUCCUUGACGAUUUCCCAAUGCAAUUUCACUGUCCACAAGACUAACCUCUCCAUGCAGUCAAAUGAAUUGUAAUUUCUCUAUUGGUACCAGUAGUACAUUUCAUACCAAACAUAUAGUAAAUAUAAAAUAUAAAUAGAUCAAGGAAAUCUGAAUUGUAGAUAGCACUGCAAGUAACACUCAAUAUUCUCUAUAUAUAAUAAAAUAAACAGUGUCACAAUACUCAUCACCCAGUGGCAAGGGAGAAAAACCUACAAUGAGUACUCAAAUCACCAUUCUCAAACAGAAACAUAGCAGUGACUGAUACAUAGAACCUAUAUGCUCACAGGGAAAGAAUAAGAUGACCAGUGCACAGCGGGCAGCAGCUCUUAUUUUACGUACAACUCAAAUCCCAAACUAACCAAAGUCGCUCAGUUGGGAUGGGUGGGAGAUGGUGGUUUGUGGGAUGGCUUCUGGGUAGGAGCUGGUGGCUUCUGUCCCUUUGGUGGUUUGCCUAAUGAGCUUGGUGGCUUGUGCUCCGGGAGUUGUUUCUCUCCCUCGAGUAGGUUUCGAGUCUUGUCAGAUGGCUUGUGUUCUGGUGGUGGCUUCUCUCCCUGGGGUGGUUUGCCGAAUGGGCUUGGUGGCUUGUGUUCGGGGAGUGGCUUCUCUCCCUGGAGAAGGUUACGAGUUUUGUCAUAUGGCUUUUGUUCUGGUGGUGGCUUCUCUCCCUGGGGUGGUUUGCCGAAUGGGCUUGGUGGCUUGUGUUCGGGGAGUGGCUUCUCUCCCUGGAGAAGGUUACGAGUUUUGUCAGAUGGCUUGUGUUCUGGUGGUGGCUUCUCUCCCUGGGGUGGUUUGCCGAAUGGGCUUGGUGGCUUGUGUUCGGGGAGUGGCUUCUCUCCCUGGAGAAGGUUACGAGUUUUGUCAGAUGGCUUUUGUUCUGGUGGCGGCUUCUCUCCCUGGGGUGGUUUGCCAAAUGGGCUUGGUGGCUUGUGUUCGGGAACUGGCUUCUCUCCCUUGGGAGGUUCAGUUGGUGGCUGCUGUUCCGUAGGUGGUUUCUUCACCGGCGGCUUGUGCUCCGGAAGCGGCUUCUCUACCUGGAGAAGCUUACGAGUUUUGUCCGAUGGCUUGUGUUGUGGUGGUGGCUUCUCUCCCUGGGGUGGUUUGCCAAAUGGAGUUGGUGGCUUGUGUUCGGGGAGUGGCUUCUCUCCAUUGGGAGGUUUAGUUGGUGAUUGGUGUUCCGUAGGUGGUUUCUGAAGUGGGGGAUGCUUGGGGUAGUCAGCAAGAGACGAGGUAGUGAGAACCACCAGUCCCAGCAGCAACACUAGCAAGCAUGUGGAAGACAUCUUUGAGUUCAGGCUGAGAUCUGUGCAAGGAUAACAGAAUUAGGUGGCCUUUUAUAGAGGCCUGGACCCAACACCCAUAUGACACGUGUCAUGCACUCAUGGUGACACAUAAUUCUAUGGGACCAUUUGGGUCCUACAGAAGUUGCAAAGUUGGACUACUGAGGUGUGAUCACAACUUUUGUCCUUAUUGCUUUCUCUGCGGCCAUUGCACGAUUUCCUUUAGCAUCAUUUUCUUGGCUAAAUAAGCGUAUUAUAUUUGUGGCAGACCGUCCACGUGUCAUAAACAGAUAUAUUAUAAUAAUGUAGUAUGCUUUUCUCCAAUGGAACAUGACACUCUUCUAAGUCUUGUUUUAAAUAUUGUGCAGGAUUACUUUAUACGUUGCAGUUCCAAGUCAAAAUUGGUGGGCAAACGUUGGCCUUUUUUCAUUUCACCUAAGAUUAAUGCUCACCUGGGAUAGGCACUACAUGACUUAUCUGCUCUUUUACUGUAAAGUUGCUUUGUGUAUGAGAUACACCUCCCCUGCACACCCUCAACAUUCGUUGCUCUGUUUUCCUUGUGUCCAGACGAGGAUAUUAAUUGGAGGCUGACAAAACGACUGCUAGCCCAGGAUUUACAAGGUCCUGGUUUGAGGCUUCGGUGAAAGUAUUUUUGAAAAGACACACAUAGAGAUAGUGCGUUUGGUGCAAUGCAGCACUGUGAGCCAUUCUGACGCGUUCUUAAUUUCAAAACUAAUGAAUGCUUCAAAAUUUUAAGAAGUGACAUUUCCAAAUAUUUGAGUUCGUUUAAUUGAACAUUGGAUAACUAGUGAUCAUAGAUUAUUAUCUGUGCUUGGCACUAUAAGAGGGUAUAUGCUUCUUUUUCUGGCCCCUCCUUCAAGGGAGGAGGGACAAUGUGAUCUGUAACGUUAGAAGCUAUUCCAUGUCAUCUUUGGGCUCAGUUCAAAACUAAAAGAUAAUGGGGGGGGGGGGGGGGGGCAUAUCAUUUUAUAUUUCUUCUAGAAGGUUUGUUCUGGAAAUAUUUCACAGGAGCAUAUCUUUUUCUUCUAUUACGUCAUCCGCAGCCUCCAAUAGGUCGGUUAACAAGCCACCGAGUUGAAAAGUUGGAAAAAUGGGAACACAGCCCGCCUCUUGUAUUCAGUAGUUAAAUAAAAGGUCACUAGAAGUGAGAUCCCUUUUGGCGUCUUGAUUUUCAAUCCAGCACCUCUGUGACCUGACAAACCAAAAAAACUAAAAAAUAAAAAACAGUACGUGGGUUGGUGUUAAGCAUCAAGACAUGUUAAUGAAAGAAGGUAGAGAAUAGGAUAUUGAAAUCCCAAUCCUGAUAACAUGAUUUUCUUUGCUAACAACCAUAUUAUAUUUUAUCAAGAAAGAGUAAUGCAUGUGGCGUCCAUCAAGACCCAUUAGAGUUCCGCUAAAGCUAUAGUUCUGUCAACGUUAUCAUUUACGUUUCCUCUAGAUAAUGGCAUUUUCCUCUAAAGCUCUUGCACCAUUAGGCUUCAAGUCAAAAUUUCACAUGUGAACUUUGGAAAUUUUCUCCAUUUGCCCCUAAGGAUACAGUUAGAAUUGACUUAAAAUCCUGAUUGAUAUGUACUAUUAACCAAAGAAUAUUGUAUAUAAUAAUUGAAAUAUUGUUGAUUCAUCGUGGAAAUACAUUUUGUAAGGAAAGUUGUUGAGAAUUUAGUAUGCUAUAUGGAGAAAAAAGUCAUGACUUAAGGUUGUGUAUGUAUAUUCUAUAUCAAAUAUUAGGUAGGAAUGUGGGAAAGAGCAGAGUGUAAUGAUAAGAAACAAAGAAAUAUAAGAUAUUCUUGAAAGUGGAAAAUAUAAAAUGGCUAACGAGUCAAAUUUAUGAUGCGUAAGGGGGAUCAUGUCACAUAAGAAAACCAUGGCAUACUAAAGACGUACGUGUGGUAUGGAGUAAUAAUUUUGUUAAAAUAAGUUUCUUGUUGGAGUACAUUAGGUGACUAUUCAUAACGUAUCAAAUUAAAGAGUCAAGUGCAUCAAUGAAGGCAUAUGUAGAAAAUUUGUUUGUGACAUGUACCAUAAAGAUAAGAUUGACUUGAUAGAAUUUAGUCUAAGUAGGAGUUGUUAAAGGUGUCUUAAAUUUCUAAUUGAUGUAUAUUUUUUUCUAAAAAAAUAUUAUAUAGAUAUUUUAAUAAAUGAUUAAUUCUUUGUAAAAAUACUUACAUAAUAAAAAACAUCAUUAAAAAUAUCUUUAUAAAUAUUUUAAGUUACAAGAAGGAAAAAAACCACUGUGAGAUAAUGAUGAACAUGCAACACUGUACCAAGUAAAUAAAAAUGUGAUAAAAAAAAAAGAGAAACACUCGAUAAAGGAAGGCUCGUAUAUAAAGAGUAAUAUUUUUAAUCAUAUGAUAGAAUGAUUUUCUCUCAUUCAUGAAUAUAGGCAAGAUUGGGGAACCAUUAUAAAAUUUUGUACACCUCGUGUAAAUUGAUGUUUGUCUUCAUAUUUUACACCAACAAAUGACAUUGAAGUUGUCAUUGAUAAAAGGGAAAAGGCAUGCCUCCACACCAUGUGCUUGAUUCGAAUGGUUCAAGUUUGAAGAAUUUUCUCCGGAAGAUCUAAAACAUUUUCGCCUUUAAAUUUCAUUUGAUUAUUAAUAUCCGAAAAAAUAGUUAAAUACUCUUUCUAUUUUUGAGUUGUUGAAUUUUUUGAAAGUUUUUAUAUUUGUUAUCAAGAAUUUCUAUUUUAUUAAGGGUGAAUAUUUAUAAAUAAGAUAUUAUAUAAUAUUUGGAUAAGAGAGAAUGGUGGAAUAUAAUAAAGUUUUAAUCCUUCCCAAUUUUGAACCUUUUUUUUUUUUUUUGAUAUAAUCGCCUUUCUCUUGCAAUCCUAUUAUCAGGUACCUUAUAUUUGCUGAUGCUAUCUGGAACUAAAUUCCAAUCAGGCAUUGUCCAAUUACUAAUAGGACAGAUCAUAUCUCUCUGUUUCUAAACUAACAUGUAUCGUAAUGUGACCUCAUAAGGAAGGCUAGGAAGAUGGAGGAUUUUGUGGGAAGCGACCAGAAUCAGAUGGAAGAGAGAUAGCCCUGUUGACCUAAUGGCUGUAAUAGGAGAAGCGUGUGGUUUUAUGGGACUUAACUGAUACUAAACCUGUAUGAUGCUUGGAGUGGUGUUUCUUUCAUUUUGUUAAGAAAAUAUGGCAGCAUACAUGCUUUCAACUGAGUGCAUCAGAGCAUCCAUAACAGAUGGUCUGCAACCCUAGGUGCAUGCCACUUUCUGACUGAUAAUGAAAUUGUCAGGUACCUGGCCUUGACUAAGCUCAACAGCAUCACAUAAAGAGAAGCUUUCAUACUUAGAUUACUGUUUAAAGUUUUUGCUUAUUUGAUUUCUUAAUGCCAUUAUGACAUUAUUGAUUCAAUUCUGCUUCCGAUUUUCGAAGUUCUGGGCAUCUACUGAUUGCAUCAUUAUAUGAGAAGUUGCAUGAGUUUAUGUAUCCUGUUAUUGUUCCUUUGCGAUUUCACUGCUCACGGGACUAACCUCUCCAUUCAGUCGAAAUGAAUUGUAAUUUCUUUACUGGUAGCAGUAGUACUUUUCAUAGCAAAGAUAAUAGAAAAUAUGAAAUAUAAAUAGAAGGAAAUCUGGAUUGUAGAUAGCACCAUAAGUAACACUCAAUAUUCACUACAUAAUAAAUAGACAGUGUUACAUAGGUAGAGAAACCUACAAUGAGUACUCAUCACCAUUCUCAAACAGAAACAUAGCAGCGACUUAUACAUAGAACCUAUAGGCUCGCAGGGAAAGAGUAACAUGAUAAGUUCACAGCGGGUAGCAGCUCUUAUUUUACGUAUUACUCAAAAUCUCAAACUAACCAAAGUCACUCAGUUGGGAUGGGUAGGAGAUGGUGGUUUGUGGGGUGGCUUCUGGGUAGGAGCUGGUGGCUUCUUUGUUGGAGUUGAAGGAGGCAUAUUCUUCUGAGGUGGCUUGUAUGACUCUUCGGCACUCUCUGCAGGAGGGUGCCCAGGGUUGUGACCAGAAGGAGGUGGCUUCUGUCCCUUUGGUGGUUUGCCUAAUGGGCUUGGUGGCUUGUGCUCCGGGAGUUGUUUCUCUCCCUCGAGUAGGUUUCGAGUUUUGUCAGAUGGCUUGUGUUCUGGUGGUGGCUUCUCUCCCUGGGGUGGUUUGCCGAAUGGGCUUGGUGGCUUGUGUUCGGGGAGUGGCUUCUCUCCCUGGAGAAGGUUACGAGUUUUGUCAGAUGGCUUUUGUUCUGGUGGCGGCUUCUCUCCCUGGGGUGGUUUGCCAAAUGGGCUUGGUGGCUUGUGUUCGGGAACUGGCUUCUCUCCCUUGGGAGGUUCAUUUGGUGGCUGGUGUUCCGUAGGUGGUUCCUUCACCGGCGGCUUGUGCUCCGGAAGCGGCUUCUCUACCUGGAGAAGCUUACGAGUUUUGUCAGAUGGCUUGUGUUGUGGUGGUGGCUUCUCUCCCGGGGGUGGUUUGCCAAAUGGACUUGGUGGCUUGUGUUCGGGGAGUGGCUUCUCUCCAUGGGGAGGUUUAGUUGGUGGUUGGUGUUGCGUAGGUGGUUUCUGAAGUGGGGGAUGCUUGGGGUAGUCAGCAAUAGACGAGGUAGUGAGAACCACCAGUCCCAACAGCAACACUAGCAAGGAUGUUGAAGACAUCUUUGAGUUCAGGCUGAGAUCUGUGCAAGGAUAAAAGAUUUAGGUGGCCUUUUAUAGAGGGCUGGACCCAACACCCAUAUGACACGUGUCAUGCACUCAUGGUGACACAUAAUUCUAUGGGACCAUUUGGGUCCUACAGAAGUUGCAAAGUUGGACUAUUGAGGUGUGAUCACAACUUUUGUCCUACUUGCUUUCUCUGCGGCCAUUGCACGAUUUCCUUUAGCAUCAUUUUCUUGUCUAAAUAAGCGUAUUAUAUUUGUGGCAGACCGUCCACGUGUCAUAAACAGAUAUAUUAUAAUAAUGUAGUAUGCUUUUCUUCAACGGAACUUGACACUCUUCUAAGUCUUGUUUUAAAUACUGUGCAGGAUUACGUCAUAAGUUGCUUGUUCCAAGUCAAAAUUGGUGGGCAAACGUUGGCCUUUUUUCAUUUUCCCUAAUAUUAAUGCUCACCUGGGAUAGGCACUACAUGAUUUAUCUGCUCUUUUACUGUGAAGUUGCUUUGUGCAUGAGUUACACCUCCCCUGCACACCCUCAACAUUUGUUGCUCUGUUUUUCUUGUGUCCAGACGAGGAUAUUAAUUGGAGGCUGACAAAACGACUGCUAGCCAAGGAUUUACAAGGUCCUGGUUUGAGGCUUUCACGAAAGUAUUUUUGAAAAGAUACACAUAGAGAUUGCGCGUUCGGUGCAAUGCAACAAUGUGAGCCAUUCUGAAGUCUUAAAUUUCAGAUUAAUGAAUGCUACAAAAUUCUAAGAAGGGCCGUUUCCAAAUAUUUGAGUUCAUUCAUCCGAACAUCGGGUAUAUGCUUCUUUCUCUAGCCCCUCCUUGAAGGGAGGAGGGACAAUGUGAUCUGUAUCGUUAGAAGCUAUUCCAUGUCGUCAUCUUUGGGCUCAGUUCAAUACUAAAAGAUAUGGGCGGGGCCCUUAUCAUUUUAUAUUUCUUCUAGAAGGUUUAUUCUGGAAAUCUUUCACAGAAACAUAUCUUUUUCUUCUCUACGUGAUCCGUGGUUUGAAAGUUGGAAAAAUGGGUCCGUUAACAAGCCACCGAGUUGAAAAGUUGGAAAAAUGGCAACACCGCCAACCUCUUGUAUUCGAUAGUUAAAUAAAAGGUCACUGGAAGUGAGAUCCCUUUUGGCCUCUUGAUUUUCAUUCCAGCAUCUCUAUGGCCUGAUAAAUUAAAAAACUAAAAAAAAAGACAGUACGUGGGUUGGUGUUAAGCAUCAAGAGUCAAGACAUGAUAAUGGAGAGAAAGGAUAUUCAAAUUCCAGUUCUGACAACAUGAUUUUCUUUGCUGAACUACCAUAUUAUAUUUGAUCAAGAAAGAGUAGUGCAUGUGGCCAGGAUCAAGACAUACAUUAAUUUCCACAUGAUGAAGACAGUUUCUGAGAGUUUCUUCUAAAGCUCUUGCGCGAGUAGGCUUCAAGUCAAAAUCUCCCAUGUAAACACUGGUUUUUCUUUCAUUGCCACUAAGGAUGCAGUUAAUAUUGACUUAAGAUCCUACGUGAUAUAUUUUUUUAAAAGAGCUAUAUUGUAGAUAAUAUUUGAAAUAAUGUUGAUUCGUUGUGGAAAUAUAUUUGUAAGGAAAGUUGUUGACAAUUUAAUAUAGUAUAAGAAGAAAAAAGUUAUCAACUAGCUAGAGAUGAGUAUGUAAAGUGAGGCUCACGAUUCAACGCGUAAAUAUAAGAUAUUUUAAGGCUCAAUAGUUAUGAUAUCUAUUUUAUUUUUUGUAUCUCAUAUAUUCAAAGAUAUAGUAAAAUGAUUUUACAUAUAUAUAUAUAUAUAUAUAUGAACAUAACUAUUUGUGCCAAUUGAUUUUUAUCUUUAUUUUGUAUAUUAGUAAUUAUAUUAAAGUUUUUACUAAUAUAAUAACUAAUAUAAAAGCUUUUUCUAAAAGAGUCAACAGAGCAAAACACUUAUUAUAAAAAAUAAUUUUGAUUGAAGGUGGAGUCAAUUAUUCUUUAUUUAACAUGUAAUGCAUACGGCGUGUACUUCAUAACUAAAGUAUAUAAGUGUAACAUCUCUUAUAUAUUCUCAUUCAAUCUCGAAAGUGGAAAUUUUAAAAAGAUUAAACGGUUCAAAUUUGUCGUGCAUAAAGGGGAUCAUGUCACAUAAGCAAACCAUGGCAUACCAAAGACAUAGGUAUGGACUAAGAAUUUUUUUCAAAUAAGUUUCUUAUUAGGGUACAUUAAUAGGUGACUUUUUAUGACAUAUCAAAGGAGUCAAGUGCACCAAUAAAAACAUAUAUAGAAAAUUCAUGCAUGACAUGUAUCACUAAGAGAAGAUUGACUUGAUAGAGUUUAAUCCAAAUAGGAGAUUGUUAAAAGGUGUCUCAAAUUCUUGAUUGAUAUAUAUUUUUUUUAUUAAAAAGGUUAUUAUAUAGAUAUUUCAAUAGACUAUUAAUUCUUUGUAAAAAUAGUUAUAUAAUGAGGAUGGUGAUUAAAAAUAUCUCUAUCAAUAUUUUGGAUUAUAAAAAGAAAAAAAAUGAGAUAAUGAUAAACAUAUAAAACUUGUACAAGUAGAUAAAGAUGUGAUGAAAGACACUUGAUGAAUGAAGGCUUUGUAUUUCAAGAUAUAAAUAUAUGGAGCAAAACUCUUAAUUAUAUGAUCAAAUGAUUCUCUCAUAUUCAUGAAUAUAAGCAGGAUUGGGGAACCAUGAUAGAAUCUUAUAUGCCUCUCCAUGUAGAGUGAUCGAUGUUUAUCUUCAUAUUUUACACCAGUGAAUGACAUUGAAACUCUUAUUGAUAAAAGGGAAAAGGCAUGGCCUCCACCCCAAGAAAAACAAGUAACCUCGGUUUAAAUCACUAGUCUACACCCCGAAGAGAGAACUAGCCAAACCUACUAAAAGAGAAACUUAACAAUUUAGAAAGAAACCGUCCAUGAUAAAGGGCCCCUAAAGGUCCAAUUCAGUGAGGUCGUGAACAAAAACACUUUCAUGUCAAAACAGAGAUAGGUACCACCAAAAUGUAAAGGGAAAGAUGUAAACCACGUCGAACUUUGGUAAUCAAUGGUAAAGAUAGCAUGAUAGCUAAAAGCACUAAAGCUGUGCUUGGUAUGCAAAAAUGAAAAGUGGAAAUCAGCGUCUUAUUCUUUUUCACCUUUAUUCACAUAUUAGGAUAACUAAUAUCUAAUGUUUUUUAUGUCUCAAAUUCUAUUCCAUGUUAUGGUAAACUUUCAUCUUGUUUAGAUCACUUUUGUCUGGUUUGGGCUCAAGACGAUAAGCCUAUAGAGACUUCAUAUUGGGUUGAAUCGAUGCCCUUGAUCUGAUCUGUUCGUUAGAAAAAUCUGAAUUAUUAUAAGCAUUUAGAUAAAAAAUAAAUAAAUGUGAAACACAAACUACUCCCUGCACAACCUUGACCCUAGUUACUCAGUUUCACUGCUCACAGGACUAACCUCUCCAUUCAGUCGAAAUGAAUUGUAACAAGAAGAUUUUUGACAGGAGGACGGUAGUUUAAAAUAAUAAUUUCUAAAGUACUUUUGUGAAAAAAAAUAAUUCCAAACGUGGAUUUUAUCAAGUAAAAAGAAAAAAAAAAGUUAUUUUCUUUUAAAAUCUGUUCUUCUAAAGAUGAUAUAUAUACCAAAAAAAAAAAUUGUUUUCUGAAGGUAAAAUUUUUAAAAUUCAUUUUUAAAAAAAUUUACACACUAAAAUUAUCUUUUCAAGAGAAGAUUUUUUUAAUUUUAAAUAAUUAUUAAUUUAUAAUUAAUUUGUUAUUAAUUAUUUAUUAAUUUUUUUAUUUGAAAAAUGCAUUUAUAAAAAACAAAUUUGUUAUUAAUUUAUUAAAUAAUUUUUACAAAAUAAAUAAUUUUUUUUUAUUUUAAUUUUAAAAUUAAUUUUAUUAUAUAAAUUUUAAAAUUAAAAAUAUUAAUAUUUAAUUUAAAAUUUAACUAUAAAAGGAAUAAAAUAUAGAAAAAUAAAUUAAUUUAUUAUUCAAUAAAUUAAUUUUCAAUAAAAUUUUCAGCAUUAAGAGAUAAAUUUUUAAGUAUUAAUCAAUUUAAAAAGAAAUAAUGAUCAUUUGUAUAUUAAGAUAUUUUAUUUAGUAAUUAUGAAUGAUAAACAACUAAAGUAAUUUGAAAAAAUAAUAAAAUAUUUAAAAAAUAAUAAUUUAAUACACGUAAAAUUAGAAAUGAUUAACUAUUUUUUAUUAAGAAAAAAUUGAGGAAAUAUUUUGUUAUUUAAAAUUUUUUAUUUGUUUUCAAUUUUUAAUGUUAUAGGUUUCAAGAAAAUUGAUCAAAUAAAAAUUAAGAAGUCAUUUUUUCAAAAACUAUAUAUCUAAAUAAAAGCCUUGAAAUUCAAAUACACAAUAUCAUAAAUAUAAACACCAAGUCAAUCCUUAAUUAUCAAAUGUUUUUAAUAUUAAAGAAUCAAAAUCACCUACUAUCAUGAUAAUAAGAAAACCAAUAAUAUUGUUCAUAUAAAUACUAAAAAGCUAACAAAUAUCCCAAACAAUUAAUAAAGUAUCAAACAUGAUAAAAAGUCAAUUAUUAUCAUGAAUGCAAAAAAUCAAUAAUUUUGUUUAUAUGAACCAUCAACAAAGAAAAAAAAAAUCAAUAUCUAAAUAUUAAACAUAAUUUAUAUUUUUAUAAAUAUUAUUGUUGAUAAAUAUCUUAACAAUUAUAAUUUUAGUAAAUAAAAUUAAUUAAUUUUAGUUUAAGAAUUAUUUUUUUAUACUUUCGUAUUCUUAUCAAAAAUCCCCAUUUUGCAUGUCUCCUUUGGCAUGACUUUCUUACCUAAACAAGCAUAUAUAUAUAUAUAUAUAUAUAAAAUAUUUGGUUAAGAAAGAGUACUAAAGUUUAUAUGGCACACAUCAAGAUAGAAACAGAAGUGGAAGAUAAUCCAAAUGUAUGAACAGAUAUAUUAUAUCCAUGUAGUGGUAGUGACUUCAUUAUUUACUUUUAUCUAAUGGAGCAUGACACACUUCUUCUGAAUAUUUUGCACGAUUAUGUUAUGUGUCAGCUUGUUCUAAGUCAAAACUAGUGAUAAAAAUCGGUUUUUUUUGCAUUUCCUUCAUGAAGAUGGCACCUGGAUGGGGCACUACAUGAGUGGCAUAGCACGAAGUGAUUUAUCUGCUCCCUUUACUAUAAAGUGCUUUGUGUAUAAGUUACACCUCCCCUGCACUGCCUCAACAUUUGUUGUUCUGUCUUCCGUCUGUCCAAACGAGGACAAACGUAUGUUGUAGGUUGACAAAACCACAGCUAGCCUAGGAUUUGCAAGGAUCUAGUUUGAUUCGUAUGCAAAAGGAUUGGUGAAAAGAUUCACAAAGAUAAUGCUUUUUGCAAUGCAAUCUUGUUCUAAUUCAACAGUGUGGACCAUUUUCAUGUAAUGCUUCAACUAGAUGUCAGUUUCAUGAAUUUUUGUUCAUCUAAUUGAUCACUGGAUAGGCCAUAACCCGAAGAAAUUCAAAAUUCCCUUCAGUACUGUAGCUAAGGAAAGAUCCCUAUCUACCACUGGGAUUUUAAGAGGGUAAAAAUGUAGGUGGGUGCCUAUAUCAUUUGCACUUCACUAUAGGCCUCUUUGGGAAGAUUUCUUCUGAAGACAUUUCAAAGAAACAUAUUUUUCUCUUCUCUCCGUAAACGGCAGCUGCAAGUCAGUCCAUUCACAGGCCACCGAGUUGAAAAGGCUGGAAAAUUGGCCAAAGCACCCGCCUCCUGGAUUCCAUGGGUAAGGAAAAGGUCACUGGAGGUGUGAUCCCUGUUGGCCUCUUGAUUUCCAUUCCGCCAUCUAUAUGACCUGAUAACCCAAAAACACAGAAGGAAAACGUCACCUGGGUUCAUAGUAAGCAUCAAGUCAUGAUAGAGACCAGACAACAUGACCAACAAAGAGUAGCGAAUGGGGCCAACAUCAAGCCCCAUUACGGUUAGAAGAUGGAAGAAGUAGAAGACAAUCCAAUUCUGAUAGAUUCGGGCAAAUGUAGUGCUGUUCAAACUUAAUCAUUUACUAUUUCUUCAUGAAUCACGGCAUUUUUCUUCUGAAAAUUUUCCAAGAUUAGGCCUCUGAAGAAAAAUUUCAUAUGUAAAUUGGUAUAUUAAGGAAAAGGCGUUACAAAGGUGAAAAAAAACCAAUCAAAUCUUAUAUAUGACAUCUCAAAAAUAUGAACUUGCUAUAAAUAUUUAAAAUCAAAAUCUUGCACAUCACCUCGUAGUACGAACUUGCUAUAAAACUUGAAAAUCAAGAAGAAAGGGGCAGUAUUGGACGAGACUACUUAGCACAUAUUAUUAUGAUGUUUUUUCAUUUUCUUAAUGUUGUUUUUAUGUCUUAAAUUCUAUUAUUCUAUGUUACGGUAAACAUUCAUCUUGUUUGUGUGGAAUAGGAUCACUUUUCUCUGGGUUGAGUCGAUGCCCUUAGUUAAUUUGUUCAUUUGAAUAAACUAAAUUAUUAUAAGUAUUUAGAUAAGAAAAACGUGAUACAUAAAUUACGCCUCUCGGCACAACUUCAACACUGGUUACUCUGUUUCAGUUUCCUCACACAAGAUUAUUGGUUCUAGGGUUUAUUUGGUUUUGGUUUGAUUCUAAUUGCUAAACUUUCUCAAGGAAGAUGUUAUAUAGGGAGUGAGAAACCUUCACUCUUGGCUACCUCCAAGAGAAGAGCAAGUGGUCUGAAUCAAAGAUAUACUGCUCACUUUUUCUUCUUCUAAGGACAGCUAUGACCUUGCUUUAAGGUUCGAAUAGCCUAAUGCAACCUCCCAUUUCUCAAGUCAGCUGAUGAUGUAAGUCACCUUGGCUUUCCACAUUCAUACGGUGAGGACGUUUGUGGGUGUAAUUCUCUUAACAGUUUUCAUUUUAUAUGGAAAAAUUCAUAAUUAAGGGUAAUUACUGAUUCCAUUUGACAGUGACCAAGUUUAAAAUAUUAAUUCAUAUAUUAAAUGCACAUUAAAAAAUCAUGGAAUAAAUAUAUUUACUAAUAUAUAGUUCUUUUGCCAUGUUCUGUCACAGAAGCAUCGAACUUUCCCUAGAAAUUUUUGCAUGGUAUUCUACUUAUGAUUUUGAAAACUCUAGGCACCUGAGGCCACUAAUUGCAUGGUUGGAUGAGGAGCUGCAUGAGAUUAUGUAUCGUGUUGUUCCUUAACUACAAAUAUCAGUUUUAAGUAGCAUCUCCAUGUGACAUUUUCCUGAUGCAAUUUCGCUGUCCACCAACAAAUUUCACCAUGCAGCAAGAUGAAUUGUAAUUUCUUUAUUGUUAUCAACAGCUUUAAUUAAUCUUGAUAUAUAUAUAUAACUUAGUAGAAGUAUAUUAAUCUAGAUUGUAGUUGCACUAAGAUAAUAGGCAAUAUUAUAACAGUGCCACAAUGCUCAUCGCCAAAUAGAAAGGUAGAAAAACUACAAUGAGUAACUCACAACAUUCUCAAACAGGACAUAGCGGCGACUGAUACAUAGAACACUAUUGGCACUCAGGAAAUGAUAAGAUCAGUGCCCAGCAGGCAGCACGUCUUAUUUUACAUACUACUUAAAACUAACCAAAGUCAUUCAGUUGGGAUGGGUGGGAGAUGGUGGUUUGUGCGGUGGCUUUUGGGUAGUUGGUGGCUUCUUUCCUGGAACUGAUGGUUUUUUUGUUGGAGUUGAAGGAGGCUUAAUCGUCUGAGGUGGCUUGUAUGAGUCUUCAGCACUCUCUGCGGGAGGGUGCCCAGGGUUGUGACCAUAAUGGGGUGGCUUCUCUCCCUUAGUUGGUUUGCCAAGUGGGCUGGCUGGCUUGUGCUCCGGGAGCGGCUUCUCUCCCUUAGGUGGUUUGCCAAAUGGGCUUGCUGGCUUGUGCUCUGGGAGCGGCUUCUCUCCCUCAAGAAGUUUACGGGUUUUGUCAGAUGGCUUGUGUUCUGGUGGUGGCUUCUCUCCUUGGGGUGGUUUGCCAAAUGGACUUGGUGGCUUGUGUUCGGGGAGUGGCUCCUCUCCCUUGGGAGGUUUAGUUGGUGGCUGGUGUUCCAUAGGUGGUUUCUCAACCGGGGGCUUGUUCUCCGUUGGUGGUUUAUGAACUGGGGGAUGCUUGGGGUA
Molecule: long non-coding RNA, 22273 nt
Filed under: Vitis vinifera (wine grape)
Lineage: Eukaryota; Viridiplantae; Streptophyta; Magnoliopsida; Vitales; Vitaceae
Description: long non-coding RNA (VVIN_LNC001392)
Source: RNAcentral